This 292-nucleotide ribosomal RNA is filed under the name uncultured bacterium. RNAcentral describes it as "partial 16S ribosomal RNA". It matches the Rfam family "Bacterial small subunit ribosomal RNA", at positions 505 to 796 of the family's 1533-position model. The record is from RNAcentral.
GUGCCAGCAGCCGCGGUAAUACGUAGGGGGCUAGCGUUGUCCGGAAUCAUUGGGCGUAAAGCGCGCGUAGGCGGCCCUGUUAGUCCGCUGUAAAAGUCAAAGGCUCAACCUUUGAAUGCCGGUGGAUACUGCAGGGCUAGAGUCCGGAAGAGGCGAGUGGAACUCCUGGUGUAGCGGUGGAAUGCGCAGAUAUCAGGAAGAACACCAACGGCGAAGGCAGCUCGCUGGGACGGAACUGACGCUAAGGCGCGAAAGCGUGGGGAGCGAACAGGAUUAGAUACCCUGGUAGUCC